Molecule: long non-coding RNA, 352 nt
Organism: Tupaia belangeri chinensis (Chinese tree shrew)
Lineage: Eukaryota; Metazoa; Chordata; Mammalia; Scandentia; Tupaiidae
Exons: 3
Source: RefSeq, a predicted model, not a curated record
UUAUGUUAAAAGCAAUGGUGUGGAAGUGGACAUUGAAGCAUAGGCGCUAACCAUGUGCAGUCAGCACUGGCUGUGAAAAUCUCAUGUGGCCGCUUUACCAGCUGGAAUAGAUUUCACAUGCGCAGACGCAGGUACAUCUGAAGUUAAUCAAGCUUUUUAUUCCUGCAUUCCAUGACCUGUGGACAGAGGACUGCCUUCUGGACUCACACUCUCUUUGCCCAGGAUCUGUUGUUCCUGAAUAGGAGACAGGAGCAGGAUCUCUGGGAAGAAGCUGUCCCAUUCCUUUUGUCACCUCUCACCAGCCUCCAGCUGCCUCCUCCUCCUCCCCUCACCUAGUUUCCUGGUUGGAGGC